AUACGUAGGUGACAAGCGUUAUCCGGAUUUACUGGGCGUAAAGGGCGUGUAGGCGGUCUUGCAAGUCAGAAGUGAAAUUCCUGAGCUCAACUCGGGCGCUGCUUCUGAAACUGCAGGACUUGAGUGCUGGAGGGGAUAGCGGAAUUCCUAGUGGAGCGGUAAAAUGCGCAGAUAUUAGGAAGAACACCGGUGGCGAAGGCGGAUAUCUGGACAGUAACUGACGCUGAGGCGCGAAAGCGUGGGGAGAAAACAGGAUUAGAUACCCGGGUAGUCCACGCCGUAAACGAUGAAUACUAGGUGUAGGGGGUAUCGACUCCCUCUGUGCCGCAGUUAACACAAUAAGUAUUCCGCCUGGGGAGUACGGCCGCAAGGUUGAAACUCAAAUGAAUUGACGGGG
RNAcentral lists this ribosomal RNA (397 nucleotides) under uncultured bacterium. Its description in RNAcentral is "partial 16S ribosomal RNA". It matches the Rfam family "Bacterial small subunit ribosomal RNA", at positions 523 to 918 of the family's 1533-position model. The record is from RNAcentral.